Molecule: transfer RNA, 85 nt
Filed under: Chthonomonadaceae bacterium
Lineage: Bacteria; Bacillati; Armatimonadota; Chthonomonadia; Chthonomonadales; Chthonomonadaceae
Rfam family: tRNA
About the family: Transfer RNA (tRNA) molecules are approximately 80 nucleotides in length. Their secondary structure includes four short double-helical elements and three loops (D, anti-codon, and T loops). Further hydrogen bonds mediate the characteristic L-shaped molecular structure. tRNAs have two regions of fundamental functional importance: the anti-codon, which is responsible for specific mRNA codon recognition, and the 3' end, to which the tRNAs corresponding amino acid is attached (by aminoacyl-tRNA synthetases). tRNAs cope with the degeneracy of the genetic code in two manners: having more than one tRNA (with a specific anti-codon) for a particular amino acid; and 'wobble' base-pairing, i.e. permitting non-standard base-pairing at the 3rd anti-codon position.
Source: Rfam by way of RNAcentral
GGAGAGAUGUCCGAGUGGUUUAUGGUGCCGCUCUCGAAAAGCGGUGUGGCGCAAGUCACCGUGGGUUCGACUCCCACUCUCUCCG